UAAACACAGAAGAGUAGUGUAUAAAAGCAGCAACAAGAGUGAGAGCAUCUUAAUAAUGCCUCGCAGAAGUUUAUGGGGCUGCCCUCUUUGAGACACAUGGUCAGUUGCCUUAGUUUUCUCGACAUUCCAUGCUUAUCUAUCAACUUCCCAGAAGUAUAAUAUUUUAAGUAGAAAUAGUUCAGUCCUGGUGAGCUAUUCUGGGAGAAAGAGGACAAGCUGCUUGUUCUCAGUGCAAUGCACCCUCUUGCUUCUCUGUCGUGGCCCCAUGGUCGUCUAGGUGUGGGAACGAGGGAAAUAAGAAAGGGUUACAUUUUGCUUACUGAACACCAGCAAGAUAAACACUUCCAAGGCCUCGCUUCUGUUAUUUGUUGCUGUCAGCAGCCUUCUGAGAUGGCACACCAUGAUACCUGCUCCCUCAUCUUCACGCCUUGCUUAAUCACAUCCUGUUGAGAGUGGGCUGGAAAGAGCAAGUGGCUUCUGAGGAAUGGAGCACUGCCAAGUGUUGGGAUGACGCUACUGAGACUAAGCCACAAAGACUCUAACUUUAUGGUCUUCUUUCUCUUUCUGGGCCUCCUCACCUGUUUUCAUGAAGGAAGUUGUGAGCUGCCCCAUGGAGAGGCCUAUAUGACAGAGAACUGGUCAACAGCCAACAAAGAAUGGAGGGCCUCCGUGCAGCAGCCCAUGAGGAUCUGAAUCCCACCAAUCACCUUGCAAGGGAGCUUGGAAAAGGAUCCACCUAGGCUUGACACGACUGAUGUCCCGGCUGACUACAGGCUCAUAAGAGGGCUCAGCUAAGCAAUGCCAAAAUUCCUCACCCACAGAAACUGUGAGCCUUGUGAAGAAGGUGCCUUGCUUCCCUUUCACCUUCCACCAUGAUUGUAAGUUUCCUGAGGCCUCCCCAGCCAUGUGAAACUCUGCAGUUGUCUGCAGGUAACUGAAACUGCAGACAGAGAAACUGUGGAUAAGGCGACUGCUGUAAUGCAUUCACUAUACUUCAUCUCUGAAUGUGAGCAACUCCAGAAAACUACUUGGCCAGGUUAAAAGAAAUGGACUGAGCUGGCAUAUUCAUCAAAGCAAUUUACUGAGAAUGCACUUUGACAGACUGCAUUAAGAAUGUUGACUUGUGAAAACAAAGGGUUGCUUUAUAAUGCACAUAAAUUAUAUGCUUUAAAAAAGUGAAGGGUCUGAAUUUUUUAAUGAUCCUCUAGCUAGAGCAGAAUGGAGUUUUGCCUAUUUUUCAUUUUAGCACUUCAAAAGGUCUUCUCAGGAUCCCAUGGCUGACAUAACUCAAGCAGAAAAGAUAGCACGACUGUAUUAUGCUUUUCUACUUGGAUCUAUUAAAAUUAGAUUUAAGUCAACAUAUAUUUAUUAAGUAUCAACCAUGAACCAAAGACUGUGCUGAAUGCUUUUAAGGAUACAAAGAUAAACCAAACAAUGUCAGAAGAAGGUUGAAGGGAAAUAUCUCCUCAAAUAGUAGCCUACCAGGGUAUACUAAAAAAAUGUACCCUCAAAAGAACAAUAUGGUUUCAAAGAAUCAAUUGAUUGUGUUUGGUUGAGGGCUAGUAAAUUAUCUUAUUUAAAACCCAAUUUUGACUUCCAUGUUUCUUGAGGGAUGGAUACUAGAAGAGACAGGAAUCAAGGGAGAAGCGGGAGUCCAGAGGCACUAAGCAGCCUAAGCAAAGGUAAUGUUUAAGGUCUGUUAAGGUGGCUGGUUUGACUUGGUGUCCAAAGUACACAUAGAGGAAGAGGAAGAGGAAGACGCAGGGCUGGAAAGAGUGCAGCUUUGACACAUAAUUGAUGGAAAAUAUGAGGAAGAGAUGAAGAUCUGGUAAGAAAAUGCUAUGCUGAAGGUGAUAUUUAAUAAUGGUUAAUCCUGAAAUGGUG
Molecule: long non-coding RNA, 1884 nt
Filed under: Homo sapiens (human)
Lineage: Eukaryota; Metazoa; Chordata; Mammalia; Primates; Hominidae
Description: HSALNT0280018
Source: RNAcentral